This 21-nucleotide non-coding RNA is filed under the name Arabidopsis thaliana (thale cress). Lineage: Eukaryota; Viridiplantae; Streptophyta; Magnoliopsida; Brassicales; Brassicaceae. The record is from RNAcentral.
AUAGUCCGCAGUGGUCCGGAC